GACGAACCGUCCUAACGUUGUUCGGAAUCACUGGGCUUAAAGGGCGCGUAGGCGGGCUGCAAAGUCUGAGGUGAAAUCUUUCGGCUUAACCGGAAAAUAGCCUUGGAUACUGGCAGUCUUGAGGGUGGUAGGGGCAUGUGGAACUUCCGGUGGAGCGGUGAAAUGCGUUGAUAUCGGAAGGAACGCCGGUGGCGAAAGCGACGUGCUGGACCACUACUGACGCUGAGGCGCGAAAGCCAGGGGAGCAAACGGG
This 253-nucleotide ribosomal RNA is filed under the name uncultured Gemmata sp. RNAcentral describes it as "partial 16S ribosomal RNA". It matches the Rfam family "Bacterial small subunit ribosomal RNA", at positions 524 to 776 of the family's 1533-position model. The record is from RNAcentral. Lineage: Bacteria; Pseudomonadati; Planctomycetota; Planctomycetia; Gemmatales; Gemmataceae.